GGCAUUUCUCUAGUAGGCAAGCGAGUAGAUCCUGCAUAUCUGUCAUAAGAAGCAGAUGGUGGAGCGUCGCUAGCAAAUGGACUUCCAUUAGGAUACGCUCUUCUUUUAGAGAAGUAAUCUACUGAAUCAUGGGGUUUAUUGUUUGGUCUCCCAUAUAGUGUAUCAUUGGCAGGUCUCCCAUAUGCUGUAUCAUUGGCUGGUCCCCCAUAUGGUGGAUCAUUGGCUGGUCUCCCAUAUAGUGGAUCAUUGGCAGGUCUUCCAUAUAGUGAAUCACUGGCAAGCCCAUAUGGUUGAUCAAUGGCAAGCCGCCUUUGAUAUGGG
This 321-nucleotide long non-coding RNA is filed under the name Hordeum vulgare. RNAcentral's name for it is "long non-coding RNA (HVUL_LNC001302)". The record is from RNAcentral. Lineage: Eukaryota; Viridiplantae; Streptophyta; Magnoliopsida; Poales; Poaceae.